Molecule: ribosomal RNA, 253 nt
Filed under: uncultured bacterium
Lineage: Bacteria
Description: partial 16S ribosomal RNA
Rfam family: Bacterial small subunit ribosomal RNA
Source: RNAcentral
UACGGAGGGUGCAAGCGUUAAUCGGAAUUACUGGGCGUAAAGCGCGCGCAGGCGGUUUGGUAAGUCAGAUGUGAAAUCCCCGGGCUCAACCUGGGAACUGCAUCUGAUACUGGAAAGCUUGAGUCUCGGAGGGGGGGGUGGAAUUCCAGGUGUAGCGGUGAAAUGCGUAGAGAUCUGGAGGAAUACCGGUGGCGAAGGCGGCCCCCUGGACGAAGACUGACGCUGAGGCGCGAAAGCGUGGGGAGCAAACAGG